Ovis aries (sheep) is the source of this 72-nucleotide transfer RNA. It matches the Rfam family "tRNA". Rfam says of the family: Transfer RNA (tRNA) molecules are approximately 80 nucleotides in length. Their secondary structure includes four short double-helical elements and three loops (D, anti-codon, and T loops). Further hydrogen bonds mediate the characteristic L-shaped molecular structure. tRNAs have two regions of fundamental functional importance: the anti-codon, which is responsible for specific mRNA codon recognition, and the 3' end, to which the tRNAs corresponding amino acid is attached (by aminoacyl-tRNA synthetases). tRNAs cope with the degeneracy of the genetic code in two manners: having more than one tRNA (with a specific anti-codon) for a particular amino acid; and 'wobble' base-pairing, i.e. permitting non-standard base-pairing at the 3rd anti-codon position. The record is from Rfam. NCBI's taxonomy places the organism in Eukaryota, Metazoa, Chordata, Mammalia, Artiodactyla, Bovidae.
CCCCUGAUAACUUGGUUGGUAAAGAAUCUGCUUGCAAUGCAGAAGACCCUGGUUAGACUCCUGGGUUGGGAA